This 497-nucleotide ribosomal RNA is filed under the name uncultured bacterium. Its description in RNAcentral is "partial 16S ribosomal RNA". It matches the Rfam family "Bacterial small subunit ribosomal RNA", at positions 28 to 507 of the family's 1533-position model. The record is from RNAcentral.
GAUGAACGCUGGCGGCGUGCCUAAUACAUGCAAGUCGAGCGAACGGACGAGAAGCUUGCUUCUCUGAUGUUAGCGGCGGACGGGUGAGUAACACGUGGAUAACCUACCUAUAAGACUGGGAUAACUUCGGGAAACCGGAGCUAAUACCGGAUAAUAUUUUGAACCGCAUGGUUCAAAAGUAAAAGACGGUCUUGCUGUCACUUAUAGAUGGAUCCGCGCUGCAUUAGCUAGUUGGUAAGGUAACGGCUUACCAAGGCAACGAUGCAUAGCCGACCUGAGAGGGUGAUCGGCCACACUGGAACUGAGACACGGUCAAGACUCCUACGGGAGGCAGCAGUAGGGAAUCUUCCGCAAUGGGCGAAAGCCUGACGGAGCAACGCCGCGUGAGUGAUGAAGGUCUUCGGAUCGUAAAACUCUGUUAUUAGGGAAGAACAUAUGUGUAAGUAACUGUGCACAUCUUGACGGUACCUAAUCAGAAAGCCACGGCUAACUACGUG